CCCCCACCACCACCACUACCAUCACCCCCCCCACCACCACCACCAAGGGAAACAAUAAAAACAACGACAAUUAUAAUGUUAAGACAAAAAUAAAUAAAAAUGUUCGGAAUUGGUAACGAUCAAAGACGAAAAAAAAUAAAAUAAAAUUGAUUGUGAAAACGAAAUAUCUGAUGAGUGUACCCCAAAAACAAUGAUAAACGAGAGAAUAAGACAAAAUAAUAAUAAGAAGAAGAAAAGUAAAUCUAAAUACGAAUGGAAGAAAAUAAAUAGAAAAAGAAAAGAAACAAAAUAUUAAUAGAAGUAAAAGAAAGAAUAGAGAAAAAAAAUAAAAAAUAAAAUUAAGAAAUGGCAAUAAAUGAAAAAAAGACGUCUAUUGCCCAUUCUCUCUCUCUCUCUCUCUCUCUCUCUCUCUCUCUCUCUCUCUCACACACACACACACACACACACAACUAUUCGUUCUCCAACUUUUUUUUUUAUUGUUAGUUUAAGGAAGAACAAGCAAUUUGGCUAAAGAUUCUCUCUCUCUCUCUCUCUCUCUCUCUCUUUCUCUCUCUCUCUCUCUCUCUCUCUCUCUCUCUCUCUCUCUCUCUCUCUCUCUCUCUCUCUCCAUCUUUCUUCCUUCCUCUCUCUCUCUCUCCAUCUUUCUUCCUUCCUCUCUCUCUCUCUCUCACGACCCUCCCCCUCCUCCCAUACACCAUCACAUUAUCAUCACCACCAUCAUCACCACCACCACCACCAUCAUCACCACCACCACCACCACCAUCAUCACCACCACCACCACCAUUUAAAUACAAAAUAUGGUGUUGGUAGUUCGCUUGUUAACACCCAAAUCCCCUAAUAUCCCACUUUUCACGAGAUUCAAAAUUACAAAAAGGUCAUAUAUGUGUUAAUUGGACUAUAUGGCAUAAUUUAACACUCACCACGUCUCUGUAGAAGGUGUUAAUGGAGAGAUAAUAGAUGGAAAGCACAGAGGCAGAAAUCCCACCUCCUUCUUCCCUGGCGGUUGGCGAAGCACUGAAGAACGUACCCUGUUUCGAGUCACCUUGUCUUACCUUCUUGUACCCAUUUUAGUGUGUGUCUUUUUAACGGUGCUACUAAACAGUGGAGGGGAAAAUAUAGGGAAAGAUGGGAAUUGGAAGGGAAAGAAAGAGGAGAUGGGAGAGGAAAGGAAGAAGAGAUGAGAUGGGAAAGGAAAGGAAAGGAAUAGGAAGAGAAGAUGGUAGAGGAAAGGAAGGGAAAAGAAGAAAAGAUGGAGAGGAAAAGAAAGGGAAGGGAAGGGAAAGAAGGAAGAGAUGGGAAAGGAAGAAAAGAUAGCAGAGGAAAGGAUGGGAAAGGAAGCAGAGAUGGGAGAGGAAAGGAAACGGAAAGGAAGGGAAACAAGGAAGAGAUGUGAAAGGAAAGGGAGAGAUGAGGGAUAAAAAGGAGAUGAGAGAAUUGAUUAUAAACUUUACCUCUAAUAAGACGAAGAUACGAAGUUAAUAGGUAUACUUUUUAAUUAAGCAAGAACAAACAAAAGGCAUUAGUAUUUAUUUGUAUGUAUAUUAACAACUUUAAGAACGUAUGAAACUAUUAUUUUAUUUUCUGUCACGAUGAAUUUAUAAUGUGGGUUGGACACGCUAGAACGCACCCAAAUGUAAACAAUGAGAGAGAGAGAGAGAGAGAGAGAGAGAGAGAGAGAGAGAGAGAGAGAGAGAGAGAGAUUGUGAUUAAACAGAAAACACAAAAGGAAUUAGUAUUUAUUUGUAUAUACAUGUAUGGUAAUUUAACACAUUUCAAACCUGUACGUUGUUCCUGUCAUCUUUUGAAAACACGUAGUCUGAUUUUGUUGUCACUAUGCACAGGAAAGAACAAAUAAAACAAGACAAAUUUAUUAAGAAAAGAGGCCAUUGUCUUUUAUUGUUUUUAUUUUUUCACUUCACAAAAAAAGUUACCAUGUUGAAAAAGGAUGGAUUUUUUUUUUUUUUUAUCUUCCGCCUCUCCAUUCUUUUGUCCUUCCCUCCUUCUCUUCUUUUUCCUUUCUUUUAAUUUCUUCUUCUUUCUUAUCUUUAACAUCUCCAUUUUUGUCCCUCCCUCUUUCUUCUCUUUUCUUCUUUUCCUUUCUUCCCAUUUCCUUCUUUUCUUCUCUUACCUUCAAUUAACCUUUUCAUUUCUGUCUUAUUCUUUUCUUCUUUUUCCUUUCCCUUUCUUUUCUUUUCUUACCAUCAACCUUCCCAUUUUUUUCUUCUUUUUUUUUCUUUCCCUUAUUCUUUUUCUUACCCUCAACCUCUCCAUAUUUGUCCUUCCUUCUCUUCUCUUUUCUCUUCCUUUCUUUCCUUUUCUUCACUUCUCUUUUCUCUUCCUUUUUUUUCCUUUCUUUCCUUUUCUUCACUUACUCUUGUUCGUAAAAGAAGGGAGGAAGGGAAG
Long non-coding RNA from Eriocheir sinensis (Chinese mitten crab), 2403 nucleotides. RefSeq lists it as uncharacterized. The transcript is spliced from 2 exons. NCBI's taxonomy places the organism in Eukaryota, Metazoa, Arthropoda, Malacostraca, Decapoda, Varunidae. The record is from RefSeq and is a predicted model, not a curated record.